UAGGAGAAGGAUGAGAAGGACAAUUCUCAAAAGAAUCAAUAGAAAGGAGGCGGAGGCGGCGAGGCGUAUGGGAUUGCGAUAACAGGCGGAAGCGGACCUUCGUAUACAGGAGCCGGCGGAGGUGGGUGUGGAGAUAGAUAUUGGUAAGGUGGCGGCGGAGGUGAAGGGGAUGGCGGAGGCUUAUGGUGAACUGGGGGCGGCGGCGGUGGGGGUUCUAUACAGGGAGGAGGAGAAGGUGGUGGGGGUGGCUCGAUACACGGAGGAGGAGGCGGAGGAGAAUGGGGCGGCGAAGGGGGCGGAGGAGAUGAGUAGUGGUAAAUUGGAGGCGGCGGAGAAUGGGGAGGGGGAGGUGGAGAAUAGUGAUGUGGUGGCGGCGGCGGAGACGGGUAGGUCGGCGGAGGAGAGUAAUGGGGGCCAGGAGGCGGCGGAGGCGGAGAGUGAAGCGGAGGCGGGGGAGGCGGCGAGUGGACGCAGUAGAUAGGGGGAGGUGGCGGGGAUGGCGACGGAGGAGGCGGAAGACGGAGGGGCGGGAUGGCGGUGGCGGAGACAGAGGCGGAGAGGAGGGGGCGGAGGCGGCGGAGGCGGCGACGGUGGCGGCGGCGGAGGGAGCUGGGGGACGAAGGGCUUGCACCGGAACGCGGCGCAGUCGACCGGGUGGCUGAGGAACGAGGCGCACUGCCUGGGCGUCCUCUGCGCCGGCCUGUAGGCGAGGCAGUUCCGGCGAUCGUCGUGGGCCGGAACCCUGAGGCACUGGGGCGGCUCCCCGGUGAAGAAGUUGUAGGCGUAG
This 787-nucleotide long non-coding RNA is filed under the name Ananas comosus (pineapple). RNAcentral's name for it is "long non-coding RNA (ACOM_LNC015819)". Lineage: Eukaryota; Viridiplantae; Streptophyta; Magnoliopsida; Poales; Bromeliaceae. The record is from RNAcentral.